UCAGUGGUAGUUCAGUGAUAGAAUUCUCACCUUCCAUGCAAGAGACCCACGUUCAAUUCCUGGCCAAUGUG
This 71-nucleotide transfer RNA is filed under the name Loxodonta africana (African savanna elephant). It matches the Rfam family "tRNA". From Rfam's summary of the family: Transfer RNA (tRNA) molecules are approximately 80 nucleotides in length. Their secondary structure includes four short double-helical elements and three loops (D, anti-codon, and T loops). Further hydrogen bonds mediate the characteristic L-shaped molecular structure. tRNAs have two regions of fundamental functional importance: the anti-codon, which is responsible for specific mRNA codon recognition, and the 3' end, to which the tRNAs corresponding amino acid is attached (by aminoacyl-tRNA synthetases). tRNAs cope with the degeneracy of the genetic code in two manners: having more than one tRNA (with a specific anti-codon) for a particular amino acid; and 'wobble' base-pairing, i.e. permitting non-standard base-pairing at the 3rd anti-codon position. The record is from Rfam by way of RNAcentral. Lineage: Eukaryota; Metazoa; Chordata; Mammalia; Proboscidea; Elephantidae.